UAAGACUGGAAGGGCUCUUCCGAAGCAUGCCGACUUAGCUUUAACGACGGCCUGCUUCAGAGGAGCUCCUUUCAGUCUUA
Non-coding RNA from Cordylochernes scorpioides, 80 nucleotides. Lineage: Eukaryota; Metazoa; Arthropoda; Arachnida; Pseudoscorpiones; Chernetidae. The record is from the annotation of a GenBank genome assembly.